This 497-nucleotide ribosomal RNA is filed under the name uncultured bacterium. RNAcentral describes it as "partial 16S ribosomal RNA". It matches the Rfam family "Bacterial small subunit ribosomal RNA", at positions 28 to 507 of the family's 1533-position model. The record is from RNAcentral.
GAUGAACGCUGGCGGCGUGCCUAAUACAUGCAAGUCGAGCGAACGGACGAGAAGCUUGCUUUUCUGAUGUUAGCGGCGGACGGGUGAGUAACACGUGGAUAACCUACCUAUAAGACUGGGAUAACUUCGGGAAACCGGAGCUAAUACCGGAUAAUAUUUUGAACCGCAUGGUUCAAAAGUGAAAGACGGUCUUGCUGUCACUUAUAGAUGGAUCCGCGCUGCAUUAGCUAGUUGGUAAGGUAACGGCUUACCAAGGCAACGAUGCAUAGCCGACCUGAGAGGGGGAUCGGCCACACUGGAACUGAGACACGGUCAUGACUCCUACGGGAGGCAGCAGUAGGGAAUCUUCCGCAAUGGGCGAAAGCCUGACGGAGCAACGCCGCGUGAGUGAUGAAGGUCUUCGGAUCGUAAAACUCUGUUAUUAGGGAAGAACAUAUGUGUAAGUAACUGUGCACAUCUUGACGGUACCUAAUCAGAAAGCCACGGCUAACUACGUG